UGAGGAAUAUUGGGCAAUGCCCGCAAGGGUGACCCAGCAACGCCGCGUGGAGGAUGAAUGUCGUAAGAUUGUAAACUCCUGUUAGAGGGGAAGAAUAGUACCGGUUGGACCGGUAUAUGACUGUACCCUCAGAGAAAGCCCCGGCUAACUACGUGCCAGCAGCCGCGGUAAUACGUAGGGGGCAAGCGCCGUCCGGAUUUACUGGGUGUAAAGGGCGCGCAGGCGGGAUAAAAAGUCAGUGGUGAAAUCCUACAGCUUAACUGUAGAACUGCCUUUGAUACUUUUAUUCUUGAGUUCGGGAGAGAGAGACGGAAUUCCAGGUGUAGUGGUGAAAUACGUAGAUAUCUGGAAGAACACCAGUUCCGAAGGCGGUCUCUUGGUCCGACACUGACGCUGAGGCGCGAAAGCGUGGGGAGCAAACA
Molecule: ribosomal RNA, 422 nt
Filed under: uncultured bacterium
Lineage: Bacteria
Description: bacterial SSU rRNA
Rfam family: Bacterial small subunit ribosomal RNA
Source: RNAcentral